This 252-nucleotide unclassified non-coding RNA is filed under the name uncultured Pleosporales. Its description in RNAcentral is "sequence contains 5.8S rRNA gene, ITS2, 28S rRNA gene". The record is from RNAcentral. Lineage: Eukaryota; Fungi; Ascomycota; Dothideomycetes; Pleosporales.
AACGCACAUUGCGCCCUUUGGUAUUCCUUAGGGCAUGCCUGUUCGAGCGUCAUUUAGUACCUUCAAGCUUAGCUUGGUGAUGGGCGACUGGCUGCACCUUUGGUGCAGACUCGCCUCAAAUCUAGUUGGCAGCUUCUUCACCGGCUCAAAACGCAGCAGAUUUUUGUGUUGACACGGCCCCGAAGAAUCUUUCCAGUAAGCAAAUAUUUUCAGCUUGACCUCGGAUCAGGUAGGGAUACCCGCUGAACUUAA